RNAcentral lists this long non-coding RNA (2879 nucleotides) under Salmo salar (Atlantic salmon). RNAcentral describes it as "lncRNA (ENSSSAG00000088554.1, ENSSSAG00000117991.1)". The record is from RNAcentral. Lineage: Eukaryota; Metazoa; Chordata; Actinopteri; Salmoniformes; Salmonidae.
GGGCUCAGAGAGAGAGAUGGGGAGAGAGAGAAAUUAAGAGAAAGAGGGUGAGGGAGAGAUAUGGAGAGAAACAAGGAGAGAGAGAGGGAUGAGAGAAAGAGGGAGAGAGAGGAGGAAGAGAGAGAGAAAGAGGGAGAGAUGGAGAGAAAGAGAGAAAGAGAUAUGGAGAGAGGGAGGGAGAGGAGGGAGAGAAAAAAUGAGGAAGAGGGAGAGAUAUGGAGGGAAACAGGGAGAGAGAGAGAGAGAGAGACAGGAGGAGAAUAGCUGUUGGGGUUUAGAGUGUGCUGCCAAGUCAUAUGACAUUCCAGUGGGGGGAACUAGAGGAGGGGGAACCUUGGAAGAGGAGGAGCAUGGUUCAGGGGGGAUCUUCUUUGGCAUCGCACCAGGUCUAAGGAGGGACGGGGUAACCAUAACGAUCAGUGAUGCUGCUGCUGAAGAGAACCAAUCAGAACAUCAACAAGACAGUCUAGUUUUAAUGAACAAUACAACCUGCCAUCUUUUUUAUUAUUUUAUUGACUUUUUCACGUUUCCAAUGUAUUGUAAUUGGAAGAGAAGAAAAGAUAACAAAAAGGCACAAAUUCACAGUAAAAGAAACAGAAACGAGGGAGUGAGAGGGGGAGAGAGAGAGGGGGGAAGAGAGAAAGAGAGAGAGGGAUAGAGGGAGAGAGAGAGAUAAGACAAAAACAUCAAUACUCUGGGGUUCUGAACUCAUUAUCAAUACUCUGGGGUUCUGAACUCAUUAUCAACAGUCUGGGGUUCUGGACUCAUUAUCAAUACUCUGGGGUUCUGAACUCAUUAUCAAUACUCUGGGGUUCUGGACUCAUUAUCAAUACUCUGGGGUUCUGAACUCAUUAUCAAUACUCUGGGGUUCUGGACUCAUUAUCAAUACUCUGGGGUUCUGAACUCAUUAUCAACAGUCUGGGGUUCUGGACUCAUUAUCAAUACUCUGGGGUUCUGGACUCAUUAUCAAUACUCUGGGGUUCUGAACUCAUUAUCAAUACUCUGGGGUUCUGAACUCAUUAUCAAUACUCUGGGGUUCUGGACUCAUUAUCAAUACUCUGUGGUUCUGAACUCAUUAUCAAUACUCUGGGGUUCUGGACUCAUUAUCAAUACUCUGGGGUUCUGGACUCAUUAUCAAUACUCUGAGGUUCUGGACUCAUUAUCAAUACUCUGGGGUUCUGAACUCAUUAUCAAUACUCUGGGGUUCUGGACUCAUUAUCAAUACUCUGUGGUUCUGAACUCAUUAUCAAUACUCUGGGGUUCUGGACUCAUUAUCAAUACUCUGGGGUUCUGGACUCAUUAUCAAUACUCUGGGGUUCUGGACUCAUUAUCAAUACUCUGGGGUUCUGAACUCAUUAUCAAUACUCUGGGGUUCUGGACUCAUUAUCAAUACUCUGGGGUUCUGGACUCAUUAUCAAUACUCUGGGGUUCUGGACUCAUUAUCAAUACUCUGGGGUUCUGGACUCAUUAUCAAUACUCUGGGGUUCUGAACUCAUUAUCAAUACUCUGGGGUUCUGGACUCAUUAUCAAUACUCUGGGGUUCUGAACUCAUUAUCAAUACUCUGGGGUUCUGGACUCAUUAUCAAUACUCUGGGGUUCUGGACUCAUUAUCAAUACUCUGGGGUUCUGGACUCAUUAUCAAUACUCUGGGGUUCUGAACUCAUUAUCAAUACUCUGGGGUUCUGGACUCAUUAUCAAUACUCUGGGGUUCUGAACUCAUUAUCAACAGUCUGGGGUUCUGAACUCAUUAUUUAUUAUGUUUACAAACCCAGGGAACUAACAGGAAUAUCUAUGAGGUCGUCUCUGUCAGCCAACAUCUCCCACCAGGUGAAGGGAGUCUUCUGUCCCAUAAAUACCAGAGCCCAAUCCCAAAUGGACCCCUAGACCCUACGCCCUACGCCCUAUGCACUUGUGGAGAUCUGAGAAGAUUUUACUUGUAUAGGAGGAUUUGAUUGGUUUAAGAGGAUUUGAUUGGUUUAAGAGGAUUUGAUUGGUUUAAGAGGAUUUGAUUGGUUUAAGAGGAUUUGAUUGGUUUAAGAGGAUUUGACUGGUUUAAGAGGAUUUGAUUGGUUUAAGAGGAUUUGAUUGGUUUAAGAGGAUUUGACUGGUUUAAGGAGGAUUUGAUUGGUUUAAGAGGAUUUGAUUGGUUUAAGAGGAUUUGAUUGGUUUAAGAGGAUUUGAUUGGUUUAAGAGGAUUUGAUUGGUUUAAGAGGAUUUGACUGGUUUAAGGAGGAUUUGAUUGGUUUAAGAGGAUUUGAUUGGUUUAAGAAAGAUGGUGAAACUUCCACCUAACCUGUCAAAUCCUCUCAGAUCUUCCACAUAAGGAGUAGGGUUUAGAGCAUAGGGUGUAGGGGUUUAAGGGUCCAUUUGGGACUGGGCCCUGUUAGUCCUACAGUAGGUGUUUAACAUGUUCGCCAACCACAUCAUAUGAUAUAACAAUCUGCUGCCCGACGGAGCAGUUGAUGACGUGGCACACAACCAUUGGUUGAUGUAAUGCAACGUCUGUCGAUGUGGUCAGACCAUCAUCAUUGUGUUUCGAACCAUCUCAGACCACAUCUAGGCCCUCCUCCUUAUCCUCGACUACUAGAGUUCCCUACCAAAUGGGACCCUAUUCUAUGUAUAUAGUAGACUUCCCCUUUAAGUGACAAUGUCUGGACUUUCCCUUUUAAGAGACCAGCUCUGGACUUCCCCUUUAAUGUGAGAGAUGUUAGCGGCUCAGAUUAUUGACAGAGGUACUACAACAUCCAGAACCAAAUAUAUCUAUACACCGUCCUGUCAACAAGACGUGGUCCCUGGGAGAGAAGGGAGCAGUGAAGGGAAUAGGGGGUAGGGAGUAGGGGUAGGGGGGUAGGGAGUAGGGGCUAGGGGGUAGGGAGUAG